RNAcentral lists this ribosomal RNA (427 nucleotides) under uncultured Actinomycetes bacterium. RNAcentral's name for it is "uncultured actinobacterium partial 16S ribosomal RNA". It matches the Rfam family "Bacterial small subunit ribosomal RNA", at positions 355 to 774 of the family's 1533-position model. The record is from RNAcentral. Lineage: Bacteria; Bacillati; Actinomycetota; Actinomycetes.
UGGGGAAUCUUGCGCAAUGCGCGAAAGCGUGACGCAGCAACGCCGCGUGGGGGAAGACGGCCUUCGGGUUGUAAACCCCUUUCAGGAGGGACGAAGGUUCACCGGUGAAUAGCCGUGUGGAUUGACGGUACCUCCAGAAGAAGCUCCGGCUAACUACGUGCCAGCAGCCGCGGUAAUACGUAGGGAGCAAGCGUUGUCCGGAAUCAUUGGGCGUAAAGCGCGCGUAGGCGGCCCUGUAAGUCCGCUGUGAAAGUCAAAGGCUCAACCUUUGAAAGCCGGUGGAUACUGCAGGGCUAGAGUCCGGAAGAGGCGAGUGGAAUUCCUGGUGUAGCGGUGGAAUGCGCAGAUAUCAGGAGGAACACCAAUAGCGAAGGCAGCUCGCUGGGACGGUACUGACGCUAAGGCGCGAAAGCGUGGGGAGCGAACA